This is a small nuclear RNA of Cynocephalus volans (Philippine flying lemur), 191 nucleotides long. RefSeq annotates it as U2 spliceosomal RNA. The transcript has a single exon. The record is from RefSeq and is a predicted model, not a curated record. NCBI's taxonomy places the organism in Eukaryota, Metazoa, Chordata, Mammalia, Dermoptera, Cynocephalidae.
AUUGCUUCUCAGCCUUUUGGCUAAGAUCAAGUGUAGUAUCUGUCCUUAUAAAUUUAAUAAGUGAUGUGUCUUCUAUCCAAGGAUAAUAUGCUAAAUACAUUUUUGGAGCAAGGAGAUGGAAUAGGAGCUUGCCCCAUACACUACAAGCAUUGACCUGGUAUUGCAGUAUUCCCAGGAGUGAUGCAGCUUGC